RNAcentral lists this ribosomal RNA (450 nucleotides) under uncultured bacterium. RNAcentral's name for it is "bacterial SSU rRNA". It matches the Rfam family "Bacterial small subunit ribosomal RNA", at positions 340 to 786 of the family's 1533-position model. The record is from RNAcentral.
UACGGAAGGCAGCAGUGGGGAAUAUUGCACAAUGGGCGCAAGCCUGAUGCAGCCAUGCCGCGUGUAUGAAGAAGGCCUUCGGGUUGUAAAGUACUUUCAGUCGUGAGGAAGGUGUUAAGGUUAAUAACCUUAGCAAUUGACGUUAGCGACAGAAGAAGCACCGGCUAACUCCGUGCCAGCAGCCGCGGUAAUACGGAGGGUGCGAGCGUUAAUCGGAAUUACUGGGCGUAAAGGGCACGCAGGCGGUUAAUAGUUGGAUGUGAAUCCCCGGGCUUAACCUGGGAAUGGCAUUCAAGACUGGUUAGCUAGAGUCUUGUAGAGGGGGUAGAAUUCCAUGUGUAGCGGUGAAAUGCGUAGAGAUGUGGAGGAAUACCGGUGGCGAAGGCGGCCCCUGGGACAAAGACUGACGCUCAUGUGCGAAAGCGUGGGGAGCAAACAGGAUUAGAUACC